GAAGAACGCUGGCGGCGUGCCUAAUACAUGCAAGUCGAGCGAACAGAUGAGGAGCUUGCUCCUCUGACGUUAGCGGCGGACGGGUGAGUAACACGUGGAUAACCUACCUAUAAGACUGGGAUAACUUCGGGAAACCGGAGCUAAUACCGGAUAAUAUAUUGAACCGCAUGGUUCAAUAGUGAAAGACGGUUUUGCUGUCACUUAUAGAUGGAUCCGCGCCGCAUUAGCUAGUUGGUAAGGUAACGGCUUACCAAGGCAACGGUGCGUAGCCGACCUGAGAGGGUGAUCGGCCACACUGGAACUGAGACACGGUCCAGACUCCUACGGGAGGCAGCAGUAGGGAAUCUUCCGCAAUGGGCGAAAGCCUGACGGAGCAACGCCGCGUGAGUGAUGAAGGUCUUCGGAUCGUAAAACUCUGUUAUUAGGGAAGAACAAAUGUGUAAGUAACUAUGCACGUCUUGACGGUACCUAAUCAGAAAGCCACGGCUAACUACGUG
RNAcentral lists this ribosomal RNA (497 nucleotides) under uncultured bacterium. RNAcentral describes it as "partial 16S ribosomal RNA". It matches the Rfam family "Bacterial small subunit ribosomal RNA", at positions 28 to 507 of the family's 1533-position model. The record is from RNAcentral.